Molecule: small nuclear RNA, 107 nt
Organism: Ailuropoda melanoleuca (giant panda)
Lineage: Eukaryota; Metazoa; Chordata; Mammalia; Carnivora; Ursidae
Source: Ensembl
GUGCUUGCUUCGGCAGCACAUAUACUAGAACCAGAACGAUACAGAGAACAUUAGUAUGGCCCCUGUGCAAGGAUGACAUGCAAAUUCAUGAAGUGUUCCAUAACAAA